RNAcentral lists this small RNA (142 nucleotides) under Chelonoidis abingdonii (Abingdon island giant tortoise). RNAcentral describes it as "TUC338 (ENSCABG00000001439.1)". The record is from RNAcentral. Lineage: Eukaryota; Metazoa; Chordata; Testudines; Testudinidae.
ACUGAAAGCCUGGUGCAUGAAAUCCUCUGUUUAUCCACAGUGACAGGUACAGCAUGAGCAGCAGCGGUACAAGCUUCCCCUCACUGACUCCUCAGUGAUGAGAAGGUAUGUCCUUCUUCACUCUUGCUGGGCCUUGGCCUCU